AUAAGGGUUCCCCACAAACCCUAGUUCAUGCAGCUUUCCCUCAAAUUGAAGGUUCUAAUCAUCUCUAAAUCAAUUUUCAAGCACAAAUUCAUGAUCACCUCGUUGAAGGGAUCAUAAGGCAAAGGAAUUGAAUCUUCAAGCGGAAGAGCCGGAGUUGAUGCGCGCUUGAAGGAAAAGCACUAAAGGUAAUGAUGGGGUCUUUCCGGAUGGCGAUCAAGCAUGUUUUGAAGAACCGAACACACACUUUUGAAGCUUCCGCGUUAAUUUAACUUUGUUAGACAAUGUUGUGAUGUAAACAAUUUACUUAACGUGUUUUUAAAUGUUUAAACUAGUUUAGUAAUU
Molecule: long non-coding RNA, 342 nt
Organism: Helianthus annuus (common sunflower)
Lineage: Eukaryota; Viridiplantae; Streptophyta; Magnoliopsida; Asterales; Asteraceae
Exons: 3
Source: RefSeq, a predicted model, not a curated record